UCCGUAGGCGGGCGUCUAAGUCAGUGGUGAAAUCUUACAGCUCAACUGUAAAAUUGCCAUUGAUACUGGAUGUUUUGAAUUAGUGUGAAGUGGUUAGAAUGUGUAGUGUAGCGGUGAAAUGCAUAGAUAUUACACAGAAUACCAAUUGCGAAGGCAGAUCACUAACACUAUAUUGACGCUGAGGGACGAAAGCGUGGGGAGCGAACAGGAUUAGAUACCCUGGUAGUCC
RNAcentral lists this ribosomal RNA (229 nucleotides) under uncultured bacterium. Its description in RNAcentral is "partial 16S ribosomal RNA". It matches the Rfam family "Bacterial small subunit ribosomal RNA", at positions 568 to 796 of the family's 1533-position model. The record is from RNAcentral.